RNAcentral lists this long non-coding RNA (207 nucleotides) under Elaeis guineensis (African oil palm). RNAcentral describes it as "long non-coding RNA (EGUI_LNC065905)". The record is from RNAcentral. Lineage: Eukaryota; Viridiplantae; Streptophyta; Magnoliopsida; Arecales; Arecaceae.
CCUCUGUCAAGUCAAAACUCAUGAUAAAAAGACUGAAUCACAUGAUAACUACACCUAGAGGUUCAUACUUUUAUUCUACUAGGUUGUCACUACAUACUAGUAGGUGUCACUGAUGGAUUGUGGGACUCAUUAGUGUCAUCUUGAUGAUCGAUGAUCUUCGAAGGAUAAAGUUAAAAUUAUUCCAACCCAUCAAAAGAAGUUUCGAUG